Molecule: ribosomal RNA, 756 nt
Filed under: uncultured bacterium
Lineage: Bacteria
Description: bacterial SSU rRNA
Rfam family: Bacterial small subunit ribosomal RNA
Source: RNAcentral
GUCGAGCGAGGUUUAAGUAGCUUGCUACUUAGACCUAGCGGCGGACGGCUGUGUAACGCGUGGGCAACCUACCCUAUACAUCGGAAUAACUCAUCGAAAGGUGGGCUAAUGCCGAAUACCUCCUUUAUAUCGAUUGUUAUUUAGGAGAAAGCUUUUGCGGUAUAGGAUGGGCCCGCGUCUGAUUAGCUAGUUGGUGAGGUAACGGCUCACCAAGGCGACGAUCAGUAGCCGACCUGAGAGGGUGAUCGGCCACAUUGGAACUGAGACACGGUCCAAACUCCUACGGGAGGCAGCAGUGGGGAAUAUUGCACAAUGGGGGAAACCCUGAUGCAGCAACGCCGCGUGAGCGAUGAAGGCCUUCGGGUCGUAAAGCUCUUUUCUAAGGGAAGAAUUCUUGACGGUACCUUAGGAAUAAGCCCCGGCUAACUACGUGCCAGCAGCCGCGGUAAUACGUAGGGGGCAAGCGUUAUCCGGAAUCACUGGGCGUAAAGGGUGCGUAGGUGGUUUUGUAAGUCUGAGGUAAAAGGUCACGGCUCAACCGUGGUAAGCCUUGGAAACUGCAAAACUUGAAUGCAGGAGAGGAAAGUGGAAUUCCUAGUGUAGCGGUGAAUGCGUAGAUAUUAGGAGGAACAUCCAUGGCGAAGGCAGCUUUCUGGACUGUUAUUGACACUGAGGCACGAAAGCGUGGGGAGCAAACAGGAUUAGAUACCCUGGUAGUCCACGCCGUAAACGAUGAGUACUAGGUGUCGGGGGUCG